CCUGUAACCUGCCUGUAAGACUGGGAUAACUCCGGGAAACCGGGGCUAAUACCGGAUAACUCAUUUCCUCGCAUGAGGAAAUGUUGAAAGGUGGCUUUUAGCUAUCACUUACAGAUGGACCCGCGGCGCAUUAGCUAGUUGGUGAGGUAACGGCUCACCAAGGCGACGAUGCGUAGCCGACCUGAGAGGGUGAUCGGCCACACUGGGACUGAGACACGGCCCAGACUCCUACGGGAGGCAGCAGUGGUCAUAGCUGGUUUCCUACGC
This 267-nucleotide ribosomal RNA is filed under the name Bacillus sp. 17A_1C. RNAcentral's name for it is "partial 16S ribosomal RNA". It matches the Rfam family "Bacterial small subunit ribosomal RNA", at positions 118 to 357 of the family's 1533-position model. The record is from RNAcentral. Lineage: Bacteria; Bacillati; Bacillota; Bacilli; Caryophanales; Bacillaceae.